CGUAAUAAUAGAAACUAACCAGGAUUCCCUUAGUAACGGCGAGUGAACUGGGAUGCCAAUAUAAAAUAUGCACCUCGCGUGCAUAAAUUAGCCCGUCGAUACUAUCCUAGCGUAUGUACCGGUCUUCGGGUCGGUACUCAAAUACGCGGGAAUUGUAGCAUCGUAAUAAAAAAAAAUAUACAGCACGCACACACACACUGCCAACAUGCGUACCACUUGUAAACACACAGCGUCUCCGCGUUGGAAAGCAAGUUUAUAUCCUCUUUGGAUAAGCCAUAGAGUGUGACAGACCACGUUUCGCCCUAAUAUAAGUACGCACACACACAUACACACACGGCUCGUGCGAGUGCAAUACGUAUAUAUUCUAUAACCUGAGUCGAGUUAUUU
This 387-nucleotide ribosomal RNA is filed under the name Ammonia sp. RNAcentral's name for it is "partial LSU ribosomal RNA". Lineage: Eukaryota; Foraminifera; Rotaliida; Rotaliidae. The record is from RNAcentral.